This 468-nucleotide ribosomal RNA is filed under the name uncultured bacterium. RNAcentral's name for it is "partial 16S ribosomal RNA". It matches the Rfam family "Bacterial small subunit ribosomal RNA", at positions 28 to 507 of the family's 1533-position model. The record is from RNAcentral.
GACGAACGCUGGCGGCGUGCUUAACACAUGCAAGUCGAACGGAAAGGCCCUGCUUUUGUGGGGUUCUCGAGUGGCGAACGGGUGAGUAACACGUGAGUAACCUGCCCUUGACUUUGGGAUAACUUCAGGAAACUGGGGCUAAUACCUGAUAGGAGCUCCUGCUGCAUGGUGGGGGUUGGAAAGUUUCGGCGGUUGGGGAUGGACGCGCGGCUUAUCAGCUUGUUGGUGGGGUAGUGGCUUACCAAGGCUUUGACGGGUAGCCGGCCUGAGAGGGUGACCGGCCACAUUGGGACUGAGAGACGGACCAGUCUCCUACGGGAGGCAGCAGUGGAGAAUAUUGCACAGUGGGCGGAAGCCUGAUGCAGCAACGCCGCGUGCGGGAUGACGGCCUUCGGGUUGUAAACCGCUUUCGCCUGUGACGAAGCGUGAGUGACGGUAAUGGGUAAAGAAGCACCGGCUAACUACGUG